UACGGAGGGUGCAAGCGUUAUCCGGAAUUAUUGGGCGUAAAGAGCUCGUAGGCGGUUUGUCGCGUCUGCCGUGAAAGUCCGGGGCUCAACUCCGGAUCUGCGGUGGGUACGGGCAGACUAGAGUGAUGUAGGGGAGACUGGAAUUCCUGGUGUAGCGGUGAAAUGCGCAGAUAUCAGGAGGAACACCGAUGGCGAAGGCAGGUCUCUGGGCAUUAACUGACGCUGAGGAGCGAAAGCAUGGGGAGCGAACAGG
Molecule: ribosomal RNA, 253 nt
Filed under: uncultured bacterium
Lineage: Bacteria
Description: partial 16S ribosomal RNA
Rfam family: Bacterial small subunit ribosomal RNA
Source: RNAcentral